CGGAACACGUACACAACCUUCCUUUAAGCGGGGGAUAGCCCAGAGAAAUUUGGAUUAAUACCCCAUAGAAUGUUGGCGAGGCAUCUCGUUGAUAUUAAAGAUUUAUCACUUGAAGAUGGGUGUGCGUCUGAUUAGGUAGUUGGCGGGGUAACGGCCCACCAAGCCAUCGAUCAGUAACUGGUGUGAGAGCACGACCAGUCACACGGGCACUGAGACACGGGCCCG
Molecule: ribosomal RNA, 225 nt
Filed under: uncultured bacterium
Lineage: Bacteria
Description: partial 16S ribosomal RNA
Rfam family: Bacterial small subunit ribosomal RNA
Source: RNAcentral